AGAGUUUGAUCAUGGCUCAGGAUGAACGCUAGCUACAGGCUUAACACAUGCAAGUCGAGGGGAAACGAUAGAGAAAGCUUGCUUUUUCUAGGCGUCGACCGGCGCACGGGUGAGCAACGCGUAUCCAACCUGCCCACCACUUGGGGAUAACCUUGCGAAAGUAAGACUAAUACCCAAUGACGUCUCUAGAAGACAUCUGAAAGGGAUUAAAGAUUUAUCGGUGAUGGAUGGGGAUGCGUCUGAUUAGCUUGUUGGCGGGGUAACGGCCCACCAAGGCAACGAUCAGUAGGGGUUCUGAGAGGAAGGUCCCCCACAUUGGAACUGAGACACGGUCCAAACUCCUACGGGAGGCAGCAGUGAGGAAUAUUGGUCAAUGGGCGAGAGCCUGAACCAGCCAAGUAGCGUGCAGGAUGACGGCCCUAUGGGUUGUAAACUGCUUUUAUAAGGGAAUAAAGUGAGUCUCGUGAGGCUUUUUGCAUGUACCUUAUGAAUAAGGACCGGCUAAUUCCGUGCCAGCAGCCGCGGUAAUACGGAAGGUCCGGGCGUUAUCCGGAUUUAUUGGGUUUAAAGGGAGCGUAGGCCGGAGAUUAAGCGUGUUGUGAAAUGUAGAUGCUCAACAUCUGCACUGCAGCGCGAACUGGUUUCCUCGAGUACGCACAAAGUGGGCGGAAUUCGUGGUGUAGCGGUGAAAUGCUUAGAUAUCACGAAGAACUCCGAUUGCGAAGGCAGCUCACUGGAGCGCAACUGACGCUGAAGCUCGAAAGUGCGGGUAUCGAACAGGAUUAGAUACCCUGGUAGUCCGCACGGUAAACGAUGGAUGCCCGCUGUUGGUCUGAAUAGGUCAGCGGCCAAGCGAAAGCAUUAAGCAUCCCA
This 873-nucleotide ribosomal RNA is filed under the name uncultured bacterium. Its description in RNAcentral is "bacterial SSU rRNA". It matches the Rfam family "Bacterial small subunit ribosomal RNA", at positions 8 to 871 of the family's 1533-position model. The record is from RNAcentral.